RNAcentral lists this ribosomal RNA (208 nucleotides) under Chlorocebus tantalus budgetti. RNAcentral describes it as "partial 12S ribosomal RNA". Lineage: Eukaryota; Metazoa; Chordata; Mammalia; Primates; Cercopithecidae. The record is from RNAcentral.
ACCGCUCGAAACUCAAAGGACUUGGCGGUGCUUCACACCCUCCUAGAGGAGCCUGUCCCAUAACCGAUAAACCCCGAUCCACCCCACCCUCUCUUGCUCAGCCUAUAUACCGCCAUCUUCAGCGAACCCUGAUAAAGGUUAACAAAGUGAGCGCAAGUGCCCCUUUUCGCAAAAACGUUAGGUCAAGGUGUAGCCUAUGAGAUGGAAA